UUCUACUUCCAUAAAAGGACACGGUGGUGGAGCAUUUUUUGUUAUUUUAAUAAUGAAUUGCUCAUCCUAGUUGCUGUUAGGAUCCUAUAACACGGGGAUUAUUAAAGUACACAUCGAUCAAUUUUCAUCGGAGAGAGAAAAACGGCUCUGCAGGUAGAAUAACCAGGACUCGCUUCAAUGGCCCAUCAAAAAAUCUGUCAUCGAUAGGAAACAAAACAUGUAUUUUCGCAGAAUCGAAAGCCACUGCCUACCAACAAGGCAAAGGAUCACCGGAUAUAAAAACUUACUUUUCGCGGUGUUGCGAAGAUCACUCAGGAAUGCUGAAAUGAAAAAAAUGAGCGGAAAACGGAGACUCCGUCCGGUGUAUACGGAUGAUUCGCCUUGAAGGUUUGGAUAAAAGGUGAAGAA
Molecule: long non-coding RNA, 408 nt
Organism: Armigeres subalbatus
Lineage: Eukaryota; Metazoa; Arthropoda; Insecta; Diptera; Culicidae
Exons: 3
Source: RefSeq, a predicted model, not a curated record